Molecule: ribosomal RNA, 446 nt
Filed under: uncultured bacterium
Lineage: Bacteria
Description: partial 16S ribosomal RNA
Rfam family: Bacterial small subunit ribosomal RNA
Source: RNAcentral
AGCCAGACUCCUACGGGAGGCAGCAGUGGGGAAUAUUGCACAAUGGGGGAAACCCUGAUGCAGCGACGCCGCGUGAGCGAUGAAGUAUUUCGGUAUGUAAAGCUCUAUCAGCAGGGAGGAAAAUGACGGUACCUGACUAAGAAGCCCCGGCUAACUACGUGCCAGCAGCCGCGGUAAUACGUAGGGGGCAAGCGUUAUCCGGAUUUACUGGGUGUAAAGGGAGCGUAGACGGCGGUGCAAGCCAGAUGUGAAAGCCCGAGGCUCAACCCCGGGACUGCAUUUGGAACUGUGCUGCUAGAGUGUCGGAGAGGCAGGCGGAAUUCCUAGUGUAGCGGUGAAAUGCGUAGAUAUUAGGAGGAACACCAGUGGCGAAGGCGGCUUGCUGGACGAUGACUGACGUUGAGGCUCGAAAGCGUGGGGAGCAAACAGGAUUAGAUACCCGCGUA